GACGAACGCUGGCGGCGUGCUUAACACAUGCAAGUCGAACGGAAAGGCCCUGCUUUUGUGGGGUGCUCGAGUGGCGAACGGGUGAGUAACACGUGAGUAACCUGCCCUUGACUUUGGGAUAACUUCAGGAAACUGGGGCUAAUACCGGAUAGGAGCUCCUGCUGCAUGGGGGGGGUUGGAAAGUUUCGGCGGUUGGGGAUGGACUCGCGGCUUAUCAGCUUGUUGGUGGGGUAGUGGCUUACCAAGGCUUUGACGGGUAGCCGGCCUGAGGGGGUGACCGGCCACAUUGGGACUGAGAUACGGCCCAGACUCCUACGGGAGGCAGCAGUGGGGAAUAUUGCACAAUGGGCGGAAGCCUGAUGCAGCAACGCCGCGUGCGGGAUGACGGCCUUCGGGUUGUAAACCGCUUUCGCCUGUGACGAAGCGUGAGUGACGGUAAUGGGUAAGGAAGCACCGGCUAACUACGUG
RNAcentral lists this ribosomal RNA (468 nucleotides) under uncultured bacterium. RNAcentral's name for it is "partial 16S ribosomal RNA". It matches the Rfam family "Bacterial small subunit ribosomal RNA", at positions 28 to 507 of the family's 1533-position model. The record is from RNAcentral.